Long non-coding RNA from Nomascus leucogenys (northern white-cheeked gibbon), 1441 nucleotides. RefSeq lists it as uncharacterized. The record is from RefSeq and is a predicted model, not a curated record. NCBI's taxonomy places the organism in Eukaryota, Metazoa, Chordata, Mammalia, Primates, Hylobatidae. The transcript has 7 exons.
GAAACAGAGGCAGAAAUAAGAAGCUGUGCCCAAGGUCACCCAGAUACGAAAUGAAGAGAACUUAGAAAAAUUGCAUCGUGAUCAAGCGCUCUGACCUUGGCAAGUUUCUUAGCCCAUUCAUCUCCUUGCUUUCUGUAAAAUGGAGAUGGGUGCCCCUCCUGGGCUCCUCCUCCGGGACAGGCGUGAAGGAUCUGAGUUCUACUUGCAGGUGGAGAUGAAAAAGAAUAAAGGCAGUCCUUUUCACUAGAGAAAUGGAGCAAAGAGCUUCUAUUUGCUUGGCAAUCAUUUCUGGGUUUUGUAGGAAUCUUGUCUUGAAAAGGAUCUCGUCGUGGUCCCUGGACCUGCUCCAACAGUAUCUCCAGUUCAUAAAGCAGACUCAGGGCCCGCAGAGCCACCGAGUCAGAACCUGCUGUUUUCUAGGAUCUCCUGGAGGUUCCUGGGUACACUCCAUUUGAAAAAGCUCUGGUCAACAGCACUGAUUCUUAACCCUGGCUGAAGUUAUGGGUUGAAUUGCGUUCUUCAAAAUGAUGUUGAAGUCCUAAUCCGCAGAAGCUGUGAAUGUGACCUUAUUUGGAAAUAGGGUCUUUACAAAUGAUCAAGUUGAGGCCAUUAGAAUGGAUGGACCCAAAUCCAACAUGACUGUGUUCAUAUAAAAAGAGAAAAUUGAGACACAGAGACAGACAUGAACACAGGGAGAAUCUAAUAUGAAGAUGAAGGCAGAGAUCAGGGUAAUGCAUCUUCAAGACAAGGAGAACCAAAGACUGAUGGGAACCAGCAGGUGCUAGGAGGGAGGCGUGGAACAGAUUUUCCCUUAUGGCCUUCAGAAGGAACCAACUCUAUCUACACUUUGGUCUCCCACUUCUAGCUUCUAGAACGUGUGGUGAAGAAGGAAGAGAGAGCUGAGGCAGACGAUGUAAGAUCUGCUCUUACUUCUUGCUGUGUGACCUUGGUCCCAAACCUGGGCUAAAUUCCGUGUGGUUCAAGAAUAACCACCAGAUGGGAAGAGAAUACAGAUCAGCUUGUCCAAUAAAGAAAGGAAAAAUCCAAAGGAGAUUAUUUCCAUAGACUCAUCAACUUCUAAGCAAGAGUAAAGACAGCUUUGGAGACAGACAGACCUGGAUUCAAAUGCAGAUCUCUUCCUCACUAGGUGGGCAUCCUUGGGUGAAGUAAAGUGGGUGUGCCUGGGAUCAUACACAGCUGGCAUUGUGAUAACCACCUGUGCCAUGUGUCUGCAUCUAUUCCCUUUCUCUCUCCUGGCUCUAUGUGGAGUCCUCUUACAACUCUCAGAAAAUGAAUUUCUUCUAAGAGAGAAAAAUACUGCUCUUUUCUAUUUUUAUUUAUUUUUUAAUUGACACAUUUAGAAUUGCAUAUAUUUAUGGUGAACUGCAUAUGUUUAUGGUAUAUAGCAUGAUGUUUUGAUAUAUGUAUGCAUUGUGGAAUG